AUGGAAUUAUGAGCCAGGAACCAUGGACAAGAACAUACAGACACACUCAUACCCCAUAUAUACACACAUAUAGGCACCUACAUAUAUACACACCAUACACACAUAUACACACACAUACCCCAUAUAUACACACAUAUACACACCUACAUAUAUACACACAUAUAUACACAUUCAUACAUGUACAUACACACCCCAUAUAUACACACAUAUACACACACAUCCCAUAUAUACACAGCUACAUAUAUACACACAUAUAAAAACCAUACACACAUAUACACACCCCAUAUAUACACAGAUAUACACACCUACAUAUAUAC
This 317-nucleotide long non-coding RNA is filed under the name Homo sapiens (human). RNAcentral describes it as "HSALNT0398673". Lineage: Eukaryota; Metazoa; Chordata; Mammalia; Primates; Hominidae. The record is from RNAcentral.